CCGCGAGGGAAGCCACAGUUCUUCUGGUUACUACAAGAAGAUAGUAUUCUGACCCUCAAUUCUCUGUUUAUCAAAGAGCGGGUCCCAGGCUCCAAGCCCUAGUAACCAGCACAAUGUCAGACCCUUUUUCAUCCUGGCUCAAUACACUGUUGAAUGAUAAAGGGUAGGAAAAAAAAAUCAGAAGAGGAGAGAGGAAGAAGGAAAGAUAAAAAAGAAGUUGGAAGAAGUCUGGGUGAAGAUGCUUUAAUCUCUAGUAAAAGAACUCUAGGGGCUCCUGGAUGGCUCAGUCAUUAAGCAUCUGUCUUCAGCUCAGGUCAUGAUCCCCAGGUCCUGGG
Molecule: long non-coding RNA, 335 nt
Organism: Neomonachus schauinslandi (Hawaiian monk seal)
Lineage: Eukaryota; Metazoa; Chordata; Mammalia; Carnivora; Phocidae
Exons: 3
Source: RefSeq, a predicted model, not a curated record